UGAGCAACCUGCCCUCCACUUCGGGAUAAGCCUUGGAAACGGGGUCUAAUACCGGAUAUGAGCGCCUGCCGCAUGGUGGGUGUUGGAAAGUUUUUCGGUGGGGGAUGGGCUCGCGGCCUAUCAGCUUGUUGGUGGGGUGAUGGCCUACCAAGGCGUCGACGGGUAGCCGGCCUGAGAGGGCGACCGGCCACACUGGGACUGAGACACGGCCCAGACUCCUACGGGAGGCAGCAGUGGGGAAUAUUGCACAAUGGGCGCAAGCCUGAUGCAGCGACGCCGCGUGAGGGAUGACGGCCUUCGGGUUGUAAACCUCUUUCAGCAGGGAAGAAGCGUAAGUGACGGUACCUGCAGAAGAAGCGCCGGCUAACUACGUGCCAGCAGCCGCGGUAAUACGUAGGGCGCAAGCGUUGUCCGGAAUUAUUGGGCGUAAAGAGCUCGUAGGCGGUCUGUCGCGUCUGGUGUGAAAACCCGAGGCUCAACCUCGGGCUUGCAUCGGGUACGGGCAGACUAGAGUGCGGUAGGGGAGACUGGAAUUCCUGGUGUAGCGGUGGAAUGCGCAGAUAUCAGGAGGAACACCGAUGGCGAAGGCAGGUCUCUGGGCCGCAACUGACGCUGAGGAGCGAAAGCAUGGGGAGCGAACAGGAUUAGAUACCCUGGUAGUCCAUGCCGUAAACGUUGGGCACUAGGUGUGGGGCUCAUUCCACGAGUUCCGUGCCGCAGCUAACGCAUUAAGUGCCCCGCCUGGGGAGUACGGCCGCAAGGCUAAAACUCAAAGGAAUUGACGGGGGCCCGCACAAGCGGCGGAGCAUGCGGAUUAAUUCGAUGCAACGCGAAGAACCUUACCAAGGCUUGACAUGCACCGGUAACACUCANAGAUGGGUGCCCCGUAAGUCGUGCACAGGUGGUGCAUGGUNGUCGUCA
This 921-nucleotide ribosomal RNA is filed under the name Isoptericola sp. NII-1029. RNAcentral describes it as "bacterial SSU rRNA". It matches the Rfam family "Bacterial small subunit ribosomal RNA", at positions 118 to 1057 of the family's 1533-position model. Lineage: Bacteria; Bacillati; Actinomycetota; Actinomycetes; Micrococcales; Promicromonosporaceae. The record is from RNAcentral.